Ochotona princeps (American pika) is the source of this 240-nucleotide unclassified non-coding RNA. Its record names the gene 7SK. It matches the Rfam family "7SK RNA". Rfam says of the family: 7SK was discovered as an abundant small nuclear RNA in the mid-70s but a possible function has only recently been suggested. Two independent studies have found that 7SK RNA binds the CDK9/cyclin T complex (known as elongation factor P-TEFb). The record is from Ensembl. Lineage: Eukaryota; Metazoa; Chordata; Mammalia; Lagomorpha; Ochotonidae.
GGAUGUGAGGGCGAUCUGGCUGGCUAGGCUGGUGUCCCCUUCCUCCUUCACCGCCCCAUGUGCGUCGCUCCCGAAGCUGCGUGCUGGGUGAAGAGGAUGACCAUCCCCGCUAGAGGAGGACCGGUCUUCGGUCAAGGGUAUACGAGUAGCUGCGCUCCCCUGCUAGGACCUCCAAACAAGCUCUCAAAAUACAUUGUUUGCUUGCCAAUGUAAUAACAAGUUAAAAUUGUGUUACUCUGU